GCUCCAAUGGCCUAAUGGUUAGAGCGUCCGCCUCGUAUGCGGGAGGUCGUGGGUUCGAUCCCCGGUCGAGUCA
Potamilus streckersoni is the source of this 73-nucleotide non-coding RNA. NCBI's taxonomy places the organism in Eukaryota, Metazoa, Mollusca, Bivalvia, Unionida, Unionidae. The record is from the annotation of a GenBank genome assembly.